Long non-coding RNA from Dermacentor silvarum, 468 nucleotides. RefSeq lists it as uncharacterized. The transcript is spliced from 3 exons. The record is from RefSeq and is a predicted model, not a curated record. NCBI's taxonomy places the organism in Eukaryota, Metazoa, Arthropoda, Arachnida, Ixodida, Ixodidae.
ACAGCUAUAUAACGCGAGUUUGAUCUACACUUUACUGAGUACUUCUAAACAGAGGACCUUCUGGAAGCAUCUGAGCGUCAGCUAUUCCGUAGGGCCGUGUUUCACUCUGCAUCAAGACAUAUCAGCAAAUUGCAAUUUCUGGCUGUAAUGGUGGGACGCAUCACGGCGCUUCUUCUGAUCUUUGCUAUGUACGCCUAUGGCAUCAUGGCCAUUCCAACUAAUCAAGAUGCUACAGCACGAGGCAGUUCAGUCCCGCCUGCUGCCAACGAGGAUGCAAGAAUCGAACUAGCUGCGCUUGGAAGCUUAGUGGGUGGAGGCGUCGGCUGAAGCUCACGUGAUUGGCUGCACCAAGAAAGCAGGGCAAGAAAACCCUACUUUUGUCGCUUGUUUACUGCUGUCUUUAUCGAGUGGCUUUUUCACGCCUGAAAGAGAAUAAAAUGGUGCAUAAAAGUUGCUUUUUUGUUUUAU